GUUACAGGCAUCCAAGGAAGGGGCAAGUCUGCUGAAGGCUUACCAACAAUGGUGCUCUAGAUUCCUGCACUAGAUUCUUUCCAUCAAAGGAUGCUAUUAAGUCCUGCUUGUGUCUGUGACUUGCUAGGGGCGAGACUCGUGUUCUAAAUUAUUCUGAAGAUUCUUCCUCUCAGACUGCUCUGACAACCAACCUGAAGCAGCUUCCAGGACACUCUUGCUGAUUUACAACUGCAAUCUUGCUAAAAGGAAUGGAGAAAAGCCAGGAUGAAUUUCUGUUAGACAGAAUUACUGGCAUGACAUACUAACACCGCUAUAACCUAGCACAUGGCUGCCUGACUAUGUGGUUGCCCCGCCCCCUGCCUUGUUUCACUGAAAUAGGUCAUUUGUUGGAAAACCAGGGGAGCCUGUUUCUCAACCCCCAUCCAUAAAGGAGGAAGAGAGGCUGCUGACGGUGCCACUUAGUGUGUCUGACUGUGGCUCCCGAAAGCCAGUGCUGGGCCAGCAAGCCUUUUCUUCUUAAGUUCCCAUGUCUGUGGUUUGUCUUUGAUGAGUGUCUGUGCCUCCUGGGUGCAAAGCCCUUCUGUUUCCCUGCUUUUAUAGAAGGAAUAAAGAUGACUGGGCCGGAUGCAAGCCGUAAU
Long non-coding RNA from Choloepus didactylus (southern two-toed sloth), 638 nucleotides. RefSeq lists it as uncharacterized. The transcript is spliced from 3 exons. The record is from RefSeq and is a predicted model, not a curated record. NCBI's taxonomy places the organism in Eukaryota, Metazoa, Chordata, Mammalia, Pilosa, Megalonychidae.